GCAUAGAAGGAUAGCCCAGUUGGGAGAGCAGGAGACUCUUAAUCUCAGGGUUGUGGGUUUGAGCCCCACAUUGGGCA
Molecule: transfer RNA, 77 nt
Filed under: Podarcis lilfordi (Lilford's wall lizard)
Lineage: Eukaryota; Metazoa; Chordata; Lepidosauria; Squamata; Lacertidae
Description: tRNA.Lys
Rfam family: tRNA (bases 14-77)
About the family: Transfer RNA (tRNA) molecules are approximately 80 nucleotides in length. Their secondary structure includes four short double-helical elements and three loops (D, anti-codon, and T loops).
Source: RNAcentral